UGAUGUUUAUGGUGUCGAUAUUCGACGUGAUAAACACGAUCAACUUUGUUGAUCACCAAAGUUGAUCGUGUUUAUGACGUCGAAUAUCGACGUCAUAA
This is a non-coding RNA of Paramuricea clavata, 98 nucleotides long. The record is from the annotation of a GenBank genome assembly. Lineage: Eukaryota; Metazoa; Cnidaria; Anthozoa; Malacalcyonacea; Plexauridae.